RNAcentral lists this ribosomal RNA (470 nucleotides) under uncultured bacterium. Its description in RNAcentral is "bacterial SSU rRNA". It matches the Rfam family "Bacterial small subunit ribosomal RNA", at positions 28 to 507 of the family's 1533-position model. The record is from RNAcentral. RNAcentral also lists the same sequence under 1 other name.
GACGAACGCUGGCGGCGUGCCUAACACAUGCAAGUCGAGCGAGGACAGAGAAGUAGCAAUACGACUUUGUUCUAGCGGCGGACGGGUGAGUAACGCGUGAGCAACCUGUCCCGAACAGGGGGAUAACGAGCCGAAAGGCUCACUAAUACCGCAUGAGACCACAACGUCACAUGACGAAGGGGUCAAAGGAGAAAUCCGGUUCGGGGUGGGCUCGCGUCUGAUUAGCUAGUUGGUGGGGUAACGGCCUACCAAGGCGACGAUCAGUAGCCGACCUGAGAGGGUGAUCGGCCACAUUGGAACUGAGAGACGGUCCAAACUCCUACGGGAGGCAGCAGUGGGGAAUAUUGGGCAAUGGGCGAAAGCCUGACCCAGCAACGCCGCGUGAAGGAAGAAGGUCUUCGGAUCGUAAACUUCUAUCCCCGGUGAAGAUAAUGACGGUAACCGGGAAGGAAGCCCCGGCUAACUACGUG